UUUGGUGAUUAUAGCAGCGAAGUUCCCCCUUCCUAUUUCGAACUGGGAAGUUAAGCCCGUUUACGCCGAUGGUACUGCAGUAACAUGUGGGAGAGUAGGUCGCCGCCUCUU
Molecule: ribosomal RNA, 111 nt
Filed under: Odoribacter splanchnicus
Lineage: Bacteria; Pseudomonadati; Bacteroidota; Bacteroidia; Bacteroidales; Odoribacteraceae
Also listed under: 2 other names
Source: RNAcentral